UGUGAAAAGCCCACUAUUUUC
RNAcentral lists this non-coding RNA (21 nucleotides) under Caenorhabditis elegans. The record is from RNAcentral. Lineage: Eukaryota; Metazoa; Nematoda; Chromadorea; Rhabditida; Rhabditidae.